CUGACCUUAUGUCUUUGGCAUAGAGAGACCUUCCAAGCUUGGAAAACUAGGUUGGGGGUGAGGGAGGAAGACAUAUAUACUUCUGACAAACCAGGAUAGUUGAGGACCUGCCAUGUUAGGCCGUAUUCAGGACUAAUAACUGCACUGUCUGGUUUUAUUUGUUAUCAGUAAGAAACUUUACUUUUCCUCUGCUAUAUGAGGUGUUAAGUGUAAUACAUAUGCAUUUGCCUUACUAGUGCUGAACUAGUUAUGCUGUUGGGGUUUUUAAUUCAGGCUCUGGUGCUCCUGACAGCCUGUGGUUGUGACACAAACGCCAGAGCAGGCUGCCCCACGUCGAUAUUCUGCACAAAGAGUUGCUUUGACUUGCUCCUUCCCAGUCUCCAAUGCACACACAUGCACUGCUUCACUCCUCAUCGGAGCAGAGGAAUGGAGAUAGAGCAGCUGUGAAAUACACCUGCCCUCCAUCUGCAGCACUGCUUGAUUACAUGCCUUUAGCUUGGCAAUAUAGUAUAGUUAUGCUGUAAUAUAAAUACAUUUCUCUCCCCAGCCCAUGACUCUGGAUCAAUCAGCAGCUUGAAACAGCAGGAGGGAAAUGAAGUAGUAAUGUAGGGUGAAAAAUAAAGAUUUGAGAGCGUGAUCAGGCAACUAAACACCACUAGGCCACACUGCCCCACUUAGUGGGCCUACAGCUGCAUUGGGCCAUGACCAAAUCUAUUAAUAGGCUAUGCAGAGCUCUCUGUAGUCCUAAGAGUAAUGCUCUUCAGGUGUUUGAGCUCUUGUUCCUACUCUGUAACUUCAGUAACUCCAUUGUGGUGCCUUGUUACAGUAGCUGACGCAUCAGAAAUGAUGAAAAGUCUUACUCUAGUCUCCUCCGACAGAAAUCCUGCUCUUCAUUUCUAGAAUGAAGAGACAAUAAGAAAGAAAUAAUGCUGAGACUGUAAACUCAGCUGUAAUGUGGACAGGAGGUUGCCCCUAGAGCAUCUGUCUUGCUCCAGGCUUGAUGACAGACCCAAGGGGAAAGGAUUGGGGUGGAAGGAACACGGUCUGGUUUGUUGUUUCUGUGGAACAGGACCUGCUGCAUCCCAGGCCCAGGGGACCAGGCUCUUACAUGCUUGUAGCUGGACUGAGUGUGCCCCAGACCCUGUGGACCAUCACAUUCAACAUGUCAUCCCACAAACUGUCAUUUUAGGAUCAUAUACCUCCUGCAAAGCAGCAUGCACACCUACACAAGAAACCAUGCCCGUAGACCCUGUCUAUGGUGACAAGCAGGCAUGUCUAACGUACAAGUUAUUUCAUUGUAAAGACAUUUAAACUUAAGGAAGAUGAUUUCUACCUCUCACCCAAGAGACACAGUAUAGAGGAACAGGGCAGAUCAGUUGUUUAGCAGGUUUAGGGAAGCUAACCUUGUACAUCAGGGCACUAGGGACCUGUUACUCUGUGAAGAUAUCCAUAACACCCUUGGGCUGCUCCAGUCCCUUUCCCCUGAUGGUCUGUGGCUGGAGUCAAAAGUGAGUGCUGCAGCUCUGUGAUUAAUUCUCAUCUUCCCCAUGACUGAGGAAGGGACUUGAGGUCCCUGGGGACAGUGGUUGUUUACUGCAGGACACAGCCCUGGAGGACUGGAGUCUGGUGAAUGUCUGCAAUGCUGUCUGAAACUCAGGGGUGAAACCGUGCUUGGUGGGAAAGAGCAGCAGCGCAGCGGGAGGGAAAUGCUCGAGGGAGAGGGUGUACCCAGAGAACAGCGGAGGAAGCAUGUGUGAGGCAGCAGCUGCAGAAACAGGCAGCAGGGAGGAGAGUUCUUCCAGCAAGAAUACAUCUGAGGAGCCGCUACUGCACCCACCAUGAAAGCAUGGAGAAGAAAACCUCACCCUGCGGGGUCUGUUCACCAUUCUUUCUCCCAUGGUCAGCCCAGGACAAGCCACUAACUGAAUAAGGAGUGGGAAGCCUGCGAUGUACUGGGAUCCCACUUGCACACAGAGGAAACUGCAGCAGUGCCAAGACCCAAGUCACUUCCUGGUGACUGCACUGCCUCACACCUGCCUAAGCAAAAGUCGUGGUCCCUAAUGUCCACACAACUUGACUGCAGUGGAGCGGAGGAGGGCAAAGCUUGCUUUUGCCCUGUACUGAAAAAAACAUGUGUGGUAUUGCCCCAAGGGCCUGGGAAAAUAACCCACAGUGCAAAGCGGAUGAGAGAAGGACCCCGCUUAGCUCCAAAUGGCUUUUGAAAGUAUUCAUUUUCCCUCCUGGUCCUUCACUUCCCACAUUGUAAUUCAGGGCUGCUAAACCAUCACUAAAUUGAAAGUGGCCUGGAAGCCUCAAGUCACUUGUAUUGCUUGGGUACAGCAGUGAUAUGUGACUGGGGGUGUCUGUAGAUGUAUAGUUUCAGCUUGAUAGCAGUA
Long non-coding RNA from Neopsephotus bourkii (Bourke's parrot), 2396 nucleotides. RefSeq lists it as uncharacterized. The record is from RefSeq and is a predicted model, not a curated record. NCBI's taxonomy places the organism in Eukaryota, Metazoa, Chordata, Aves, Psittaciformes, Psittacidae. The transcript is spliced from 3 exons.